CAGUCGCCGCGGGAAUACGAAGGGGGCUAGCGUUGUUCGGAAUUACUGGGCGUAAAGCGCACGCAGGCGGCUCGAUAAAUUAGAAGUGAAAGCCUUGGGCUUAACCUGAGAAUUGCUUUUAAGACUGUCGAGCUAGAAUCCAGAAGAGGGUAGUGGAAUUCCGAGUGUAGAGGUGAAAUUCGUAGAUAUUCGGAAGAACACCAGUGGCGAAGGCGACUACCUGGUCUGGCAUUGACGCUCAUGUGCGAAAGCGUGGGGAGCAAACAGGAUUAGAUACCCCAGUAGUCCCUGUCUCUUAUAC
RNAcentral lists this ribosomal RNA (301 nucleotides) under uncultured bacterium. RNAcentral's name for it is "partial 16S ribosomal RNA". It matches the Rfam family "Bacterial small subunit ribosomal RNA", at positions 509 to 807 of the family's 1533-position model. The record is from RNAcentral.